This 368-nucleotide unclassified non-coding RNA is filed under the name Hevea brasiliensis (rubber tree). Lineage: Eukaryota; Viridiplantae; Streptophyta; Magnoliopsida; Malpighiales; Euphorbiaceae. The record is from RNAcentral.
GAAAAUGAAGCAAACAAAAUAAGUACAACUGCAUUUAUAGAUUGCUAUAACAACCUUCCAUUACAACACUUUCACCAUGGUAAGUUUAAGUUGAAAGAACCCUAUACUUGUCAGCCAAUAAAAUGAACUUGGCUGCACAGCUCAAAAACAGAUCAACAUUGGUUUUCUAUCUUGUGCCCUGAGUCCCCGACUACACAACUGAGUAUGAAAAAAAGAAAAAAACUAAAAGACAAAUAAGACUGACCCAUUGCUAAUUUCCUCAAAACUCCAAGAAUACUGGCACAAAAUUUAAAGUUAAUUUUCAACAGACCAUAAAAUUGAAACUAUACAUGUUAGAAAUCUAGAGAUUAUAUCAGUGAGAAUUAAGC